GCCGCGGCGAGCUUCACUCAUCACCGAACGCCGGACGAGAAUCGAGAGGCGUUGCAACGCUCCGAGACAUAUUUGGCGAAAGAACGUCAAACAAAUCGCAGAAUCUGUCAGUCCCGUGUAUCGGCGCUGUCGCCGAUCGUAUCAAACGGAAAUACACGCGUAUCUAGGACAAACGGAGAGUUAUUUCACUCUCGGCAGUCGCAACGUUCCGAAGAAAACUUCGGGCUGAUCAACCGCGUUUCGUACGUCGUAGAGGAUUGUCGAAGGUGCGAGAACAAUCGCCGGUAAUUAUCUUCUGUGAUUCGGGGAUGGGGAGAGAGAAUGUCAACGAUAACGCAAAGAUGGCCGACUGCAGCUGCGGCGUACUUCACUCACAACAAGACGCCAAACCGAAGAGAACGCGAUACGACGCAAUAACGUCAACGAGGGGACACGUUCAGCGAUUGAUUGUGGUACCAUUUCCAAGAUUUCGAGUUUCCAAACACCACAGAAACGAGGCGCUGGAUGCUGAACUGCGACGUGUCGAUCUCAACGUGGGAAAUUUC
Molecule: long non-coding RNA, 545 nt
Filed under: Neodiprion pinetum (white pine sawfly)
Lineage: Eukaryota; Metazoa; Arthropoda; Insecta; Hymenoptera; Diprionidae
Description: uncharacterized LOC124223192
Source: RNAcentral